AAAAAAAAAAAAAGAACUUUUUUGACUAUGCAGUUGUCUUCAGAUGCCUACCAAAAUUUUCUUUUACAUGCAAUAAUGUACAUUUUUAUUUAUCAUUCAUCUUCUAAGAACUUUGGCAGGGUGAACCCUCAAUGUUCUUAAUUUUAUGAAUACUAUAAAAUCGUUGGAGAAAUGGUAAUUUACUUGACAGCCAUUGAGGAAAAAAGUGGAGGCUAUCACCAGUGAUGGUCCUGAAGGGGGACUUGCUUUGACCCAAACUUUUAGUAUUCCAUAUGUUGUGCUGCAUUCUUUAUCUAUUUGCGUAUGAGGCAUUCUUCUUACUUUUCAUUCCAUGGGAAAAUUCUGGUCUGUGCUUGCUUUGUCUUCCCUGGACCUUUGUUUUCUGCAAUGACUUAAUCUGGUUUGCACUUUGCAGGAAAAUUCGACAUAAGAAUGUA
This 437-nucleotide unclassified non-coding RNA is filed under the name Hevea brasiliensis (rubber tree). The record is from RNAcentral. Lineage: Eukaryota; Viridiplantae; Streptophyta; Magnoliopsida; Malpighiales; Euphorbiaceae.